Molecule: long non-coding RNA, 690 nt
Organism: Anguilla rostrata (American eel)
Lineage: Eukaryota; Metazoa; Chordata; Actinopteri; Anguilliformes; Anguillidae
Exons: 2
Source: RefSeq, a predicted model, not a curated record
CAGGUGAUUUUUGGGAGAGACAAUUCAUAUACAUGACAGGUAUACUACAGCAAAUACACAGAUGACUGAUAUACUACAGCAAAGACACAGAUGACUGAUAUACUACAGCAAAGACACAGGUGACAGGUAUACUACAGCAAAGACACAGGUGACUGACAUACUACAGCAAAGACACAGGUGACAGGUAUAUUACAGUGAGGUCACACAGGUGACAGGUAUAUUACGGAAAGGUCACACAGAUGACAGGUAUAUUAGCCCAUAAGAGUCAAACUGAUUAAUCAUGUGACCUAACAGUAGAAUGGUCAGGUGACAUUGCUUAGCAACAGUGAGCCAGCAUGAACACAGCAUGACAAUUUAUUGAAUCAGCAUAGUCGAAACUGACACAAAAGCUCUGUUAAAAGUAUUAAGCAAUAAUUAUUAAUAUUAAUAUUGAUAAUAUUAAUAAUGAUUUGAAUUAAAAACUGGUAUUUUUGUCAGAGGAACCAAUAGUACAUUCUUAAAAACGACCUAAAUCCAAACUUUUGUGCAAAGACUUUAUGCAAAGCUUAUUAAAAACUGUAAAAAAUGAAAUAAAAAAUAUUUUAUCAACAGAAUAUGAACAAAAAUAUCUCCUUUUUGUGAUCAGGCCACAAUUAUUUUUUUUUACAUUUAAGGAUACUGGCGUGGCUGUGCAAAAUAACUAAAUCCUUU